This 749-nucleotide long non-coding RNA is filed under the name Pan troglodytes (chimpanzee). Its description in RNAcentral is "lincRNA". The record is from RNAcentral. Lineage: Eukaryota; Metazoa; Chordata; Mammalia; Primates; Hominidae.
UCACCCAGUCUUGGUGUAUGUAGACGUUUUCUUAAUAUUUCUUAAUAUUCUAUUUAGGAUGAGCUUAUCAUGGAACAUAAGAAAAAUAAAACAGAUGUCAGCCUGUGUAUGAAGAAUUCAUCCACAAGAUUUGACCGAAGACCGUGAGACUUCCUCCCCACAGUGAGCUAAAAGGACACUUUUGUCAGAGUGGGGAAAUAAAAGGGCUUUAUGGGAAGGAAGAUAAGAACAGAUGAGUCAGAGGUUUCUGCUUAAUGCUCACUCUUCAAUUAUUUCCCGAGCAAAACCAAGAAUCUUCUUGGGCUAAGCCCCAAUUUGGGGUUCACCUGCCUUGCAGCAACAUGGCACCAAACAUGGGGCAGAAGAGAGAAAACGACAGCAUGAGAGACGGAGAAAGAAAUGGCAGUUGGCAAGGUGGUAAUGAGAGACAGCAGUUGGCAAGACAGUGAGAGACAGCAAGAGAUGGUGGUACAGCCAAGCAGACAGGCAAGUGGCCAUACUGCUGCUGCCUCAUGUAGGAUCCGGCAGGCUGGUGGGUUAUCAGUCCUCACGUGGGACCCUCCCACCAUGGCAGCUGAGCACAUCCAAGCUGGGGGAUCCUGAAGAGACCUUCACCUGGGUGCCACGUGGAAGAUUGGCCAGCACCAUUUUGACUCCUGUGGAUGGUUCCAGGUAAAGACAAUCCUUGCACAAGGCUUCCAACUCGACCCACCUACUGACCUGGAGAAUGAAAGUGUCCUGCCUCGGGG